GUGGAGAAGCUGAAGAAGCCAUGGUUCCUCCCUCAGUAGAACACAGCAAUACGAUUUUGGUGCAUGUAUUUCCGGGUGCAAUGCAGUUUGACAGCAUACCCGAGUAUGGAGCCAAAGAGACACUUGAGCUAUGAAACAUGAUGGCAUGGCACCGAAGACAAGAUCUGUACGUUCUCUGCACUUGUUCUAUUUUCAAUCCAUCCUUCGCUCUCGGUGACUUCAUAACUGGACUGGACAGACUUCCUACUUUCAAAUUGAUCUUCUAUACGGCAAACGUUGGCAAGGUUCCCUUGGAAAUAUUUCCUGGAACCCAAGCAUAGUAGCCCACACCUGCUAAGAAUUCUACUCUGUCUGUCUUAGGCAACCUCUAAAGGAUCAUUCCACCACCACAGAGGUCACAACCCACUGUGACCUGACCCUUGACCUUGAGUCUUCUGUGUGACUCAAGGUUGAGGACCCCUGACCUUGAGUCUUCUCUGUGACUUCAGAAACUCAUGCAAAUUGUUUAUGCCUUCAUUUUCCUGGAGUUAAAACCAAGAGAUUUUGAUCUUUCUGAAAAUAGUGUAUCAACUUCAUUCUGAUGCUAUCAAAUUCAUCAGAUUUCCCCAAACCACUGACAAUUACAACCAGUUAUGUUUUUUCCCCCCUUUUCCAGUUAAUAAACAGAAUAAUAUGGCAUUUGAGAAAAUCAGCAUGCUGGCCAUGUUACCAAUCUCCAAGAGUCACUUAAACUUCAGAUGCCUUUUUUUCUUACAUAUAAAAUAAGUUGAAAGUUUUGGAUGGUUGGAAGAUAUGCAUUAUAACAUGUCAGUCUAGACAACUGGUUUCCGGCGUCCUAAAAUGGAGCUAUUUAUAAAUUUUUAAAAAUAAGUAUUAUAGCCAGGAUUCACAUCGAGCACUUAGCUACUGACUCCAUGUUCAUGGGCAAUACUGGGAGACAGAUGGCUAAGAAGGACUUUUCAAGUCUAGUGCAGACUUGGGAAACUGCCUUAAACAUCAUCCUCACCCCAGCACGACAAGUUUACAGAUGGGGAAAAGCAGACUGGACAGUGCUCGGCCAAUGUGAACACAGAGCGAUGUUUCUCGCAAGCGUCACAGGGUUGAUAGGAUGUUCUUAUUUUCCUUACGUUCCUCUCUAGCUACUCUAGCAAGAGGUUUCCUUAAGUUCUCAGCUGUUUGGCUGGGUAAGUGUUUGGCCCAUUGCUCAUUCUGUUUGAUACGUACUUGAGAUUUUCUUGUUGGCAGUCACAAUGGCUUGUAUGACAACUGCUAGCCAGAGAGAAAGUUCUUGGAGGAGGCUACUCAGUAACCAUUUAGGAGGGAAAUGGAGUUACCAUUCCACACCAGUUUGUGUGUGUGUGUGUGUGUGUGUGUGUGUGUUCUAAAUCCCACUGUUUCUAUCUCUUCUCGUGUCUGCCACACACCUUCUGAUGUGUUGCUUCUUCAGUUUACAAACCUCACAACAAUAAAUAAUCAAUAAAGAUUCAAAAAGUGAAAAAAA
Molecule: non-coding RNA, 1501 nt
Organism: Rattus norvegicus (Norway rat)
Lineage: Eukaryota; Metazoa; Chordata; Mammalia; Rodentia; Muridae
Source: RefSeq, a predicted model, not a curated record